RNAcentral lists this non-coding RNA (24 nucleotides) under Arabidopsis thaliana (thale cress). Lineage: Eukaryota; Viridiplantae; Streptophyta; Magnoliopsida; Brassicales; Brassicaceae. The record is from RNAcentral.
UGCGUGUGCUUCGCGAGUCUGGUC